AACGAACGCUGGCGGCAGGCCUAACACAUGCAAGUCGAGCGCCCCGCAAGGGGAGGCGGCGGACGGGUUAGUAACGCGUGGGAAUGUACCCUUUUCUUACGGAAUAGCCUCGGGAAACUGAGAUUAAUACCGUAUACGCCCGGUAACGGGGAAAGAUUUAUCGGAGAAGGAUCAGCCCGCGUAAGAUUAGAUAGUUGGUGGGGUAAUGGCCUACCAAGUCUACGAUCUUUAGCUGGUUUGAGAGGAUGAUCAGCAACACUGGGACUGAGACACGGCCCAGACUCCUACGGGAGGCAGCAGUGGGGGAAUCUUAGACAAUGGGCGCAAAGCCUGAUCUAGCCAUGCCGCGUGAGUGAAGAAGGCCUUAGGGUCGUAAAAGCUCUUUCAGUGGGGAAGGAUAAUGACGGUACCCACAGAAGAAACCCCGGCUAACUCCGUG
Molecule: ribosomal RNA, 439 nt
Filed under: uncultured bacterium
Lineage: Bacteria
Description: bacterial SSU rRNA
Rfam family: Bacterial small subunit ribosomal RNA
Source: RNAcentral